Long non-coding RNA from Lytechinus pictus (painted urchin), 4184 nucleotides. RefSeq lists it as uncharacterized. The record is from RefSeq and is a predicted model, not a curated record. The transcript is spliced from 4 exons. Lineage: Eukaryota; Metazoa; Echinodermata; Echinoidea; Temnopleuroida; Toxopneustidae.
UCAAAUAUGUGGUAUUUGUGUGUUAUUGCCCUUCUGUUGAAAAUCAGAAAUACCACACAAAAUAGUUAUCACACCCAUAACUUAGACCCCCCUCAGCUCACCCCCUAUCAAAAUUAAAAAUUGAUUCGCCGGGGGGGGGGGCGGUGACAGGCUUGCGCAUGCGCACUUACCGCCAACAUUUGAAAAGAAUUCCGUUGCGUUGCAGUUUAUUGAGCUCCAUCGAGAAGUGUGACGAAGAAGGCCGUUAAUAAUUCAACUACUUAAAGAAUACGGGUUAGAUAUGGACAACGACUUCGAAGACAUUUGCAGUAGGCUAAACAGAGAAAGAGAGGGAGACCCAAAACUACCUGUCCUGGCAUCACAUUUGAGGAGAAGAAGUCGAUGAAUAUGACCUAGCCCGGGGGAGUUUCCAGAAGAAGGCCCAGAACCACCGGCCGCCAGGAGUGGAGGUCCUUUGUUGUUGCUCUCCAUGUCAGGAGGCAUCGGGCAGUAGGUAAGACUAACCCUGGUAGAAGCACCAUCUUGAUACUAUCAUUCAAACUCUCAUCAGCUGUAUCAUUAUAGGUGGACUAAAAGAACAAUAUUCAUGCAGAUAUAAUGAUGCCUUAAGUUGGAAUGGAAGGUGUCCUGAAUCUGCACCCAUUCAUCUGGUUUCGUAACUCCUUUCAUAGUGCUAUUGGAACCUGCUCCCUACCAGUAUAACAUCAAACAGAUUGGAAGAAUAAAGGCCGAUGGGAAGUGCCUUUUAUAUUUCUACUUGCCACAAAGCAGUCCAUGGUUUAGCGCAAUCUAAACUGGACUAUUGUAAUGCUCUUCAUGCUUGAAUUAGGGCGAUCUGGACUGACUGCAGAUAGUACAGAAUGCUGCAUUUAUUGUGCCAUUUGCCAUACGCCAACUUCGCUGGCUGCAAGUCAAGGAAAGGAUAUACAUGAACAUCAGUGUCCGUCUCCUGAGAUCCAGAUUACAUGUAUUAUAAGGAAUCCCUUGUGCGUCAUUUUCAUUCUAGGCGCACUUGCCUUUUUAUUUUUGUGAUCAUUACCAAGGAGCUUGUCAUUACGCACCUACAAAUUAGCUACUGGUGAUGCAACUUUCUCCACUACUGCUCCAAGGCCAUGGAAUUAGCUCCUUCCUCUCCUCCAGUUGUCAACAACCUUGGAUCAAUCCAAAUACAAUUUGAGAAGACCUACCAUAUUCCUGAUCUUUGCUCUGUACUUACAACAAUACUGUCACUGCCUGGUAAUUUGAAUUUUUUUUAAUCUCAUGUGCUGACUAGGAUGGCAUCUCAAUUCAUCCAAAUUAGACAAGGGAUAAUAAAGUAAUGUAUGACAUUCUAACCUCUGCAUUAUUUUGGUGAAAGAGCUCUAAGCAUAUGCAAGUAGCAAGCUGAUGAUGUCAUACUGACGUACAUUGUACAUGUACACGUAUCCCCAACUUAUUAUUUUGUAUAUAAAAUUGUGCAUUUAAUUUUGUUUACCAAGAAUGAAACAAAUCGGAUUGUAAACUGUAUUGAUGUGACUUACCUGUAUUGAUUAUUGCUGGAAGUUCUUUUGCUACAUGGGAUUGGAAGACAUACCUAUUACACACAUGAAGUAAAUUAUUAUUUUAUCUGGUAACAUGAGAACAAAAAAAAAUGUGGGCAUGAUAUCAUAAACUUACAUGUAUCUACUUGCAUGUGUUGAUGACCAAUAUUUUUGUAAUUAUUAUUAUUUUUUUUUUAUCUGAUUUUGAUAAAAUUUUCACUAUUUUGCAUGGUAAAAAUUACUUUAUUUUAGAUUAUGUUGAGCCCGUAUCAUAUACAAGUACAACUUUAAAGAUAAAUUACCAGUUGUAGUAACAAUCUUAAAAUGAGUUCGAACAGAAUCCAAUAGAAUUACCAGCAAAAUAUAAAAGAUAUGUGCCAUAAUUAUAGCUCGGGAAGAAAAUGUGUAAUUGCUGAGAAAUGAGCAAAAUAAGCAUGUAAUUCUAUCAAAUGUCAGGUAUUUUUCAAAUCAAUCAUAAUACACUGUCCUGUCCCACAUAUGCUUUUCUGUGUUAGUGCCUAGUGAUCAUCAGAAUAAUUGAUUUUAAGUUCAAAAUUAGUAAUUUUACAAAGAUACAAGUUUACAUAAUGUACCAGAUCUAGAGAUUAUGUACAAUAUUUUGACAAUUUCUCAUGAAAUAAUUGUUUGCUGCAACUGCUGUCUUUUUAAUACCUCUAAGUGAUAGUGUAAUACAACCACAAACUUUUCUUAAGAAUUAAUGUACAUGUAUGAUUCUUUCACCCAAAUUUACAUGCAUUGAUACUGUUGACUACUUGCCAAAAGUUCCUGCCAAAAGCCUUUUUUUUUAACGAUGUACAUGCUUUUAUAGACGACCUGCCAAAACAUUGUAUUGUAUAUAUAUUCAAGGACCAACCAAAAAGAGAUGAAUAAAAUGUUUGAAGGAAAUUGAAAUUAACUUUAAAAAUGAUAGCUGUCAAUGCAGUAUUAUUACAGGGUUCCCACAGUCAUGGAAAAUCCUGGAAAAAAUUGGUCAUGGAAAGUCAGAGAUAUGUGAAAAGUCAUGGAAUUGCAUUUACCUCUUGGCUAUGACAGCUUUCUAGUUUUUUAUGUCUCACAACUCUCAUACUCUGUGAUUGUACUCUACUAUUAUAAUUGGUGUUCAUGAUCAUAACAUGUCUGAUUUUGUAAACUGUGCCAGAAAGGAAUUAAGUCAUGGAAAGCAGCAAUUUAGUCAUGGAGAGGUCAUGGAAUUCUGUUUUCAAAUUUCUGUGGGAACCCUGAAUAGGUUUGUGCACUUGACACAGUGUGCACUACAGAUGAACUUUGUAAUGCCAUGAUAUAAACCAGUACAAUAUCUUAAAGGAAAAUAAAACCCAAAAUAUAAUACCACAUGAUACCAUUGAUAAAUACAGGACAAUGAAAAUGAAUCCACUCAUAUACCCCCAAUCCGAUUUCCCAGUAUGGAGUACCACCUUUUCAAAGUUGGCAUCUUCUGGUUCGAAGUCUAUGGAUGGAGAUUAUUCCGUCAGCGACGAACUACAUCUCUAAACGUUUGGGCAUUAUAUAUUCUAUUUCAUCGAUAAUAAAUCAAAUGUACAGAUAAAACUCAUAAAAUAUUAAUUAAAAUAUGUUUAAUAUUAUAUGAUAGGUUCAAAUUACGACUUGAUGAGUUUUAAUGAUAAAAAUUACACCCUAAUCUACGAUUUACAAAUUGGCAGCGAAAAUCAAUCAGAAAUUGGGGUGUAAAUCUUAUCAUUAAAACUCAUCAAAUUGUAUUUUAAACCUACCAUAUAUUAAACAAAUUUUAACUAAUAUUUUUAUGAGUUUUAUCUGUACAUUUGCUUUGUUAUUGCUAAAAUAGAAUAUAUAAUGCCUAAACGUUUAGAGAUGUAGUUCGUCGCUGAUGUAAUAAUUUUCUUACUAACCCCGCGAAAAUGGCGACCUCCAUCCAGAAACUUCGAACCAUACUGUAAGAGGCCAACUUUGAAAAGGUGGUACUCCGUAAUUGGAUUAGGGUAUGAGUGGAUUCAUUUUGAUUGUCCUGUAUUUAUCAAUGGGAUCAUGUGGUAUUAUGUUUUGGGUGUUAUUUUCCUUUAAUUCAGAUAUUACAUGCCAGGGUAUUGUCCUAGUUUUCAUUUUUGGUGCGUAAAUUGAUCAAAUUAUUCGUUCCUUUGAACACUAUUCUAAACUGAGUGGACUCCAAAUACAUAUUAUCAUCUCUCGUCUAUUUCUACUUGCCCUUCGGCCUUGAAGUAAACUUGGGAUAAUUAUGCAUUUUGUUAUACGCAAUUUUGAGUACAGUGCACUUUGCCGCAGCUACUUAUAUGAUAUUACCUAUUGUAGACACAUCCUUAUGUUUUGUUCAUUUUCUUAAAUACGAUUAAGAAUUUAAUCAUUUUUGUCUUUAAGCAUAAAACAAAGAGUAAUCAGUCCAUUCUGUAUGUGUGACCUGCAAAAAAAAAUACAAUGGUCGUUAAUUUGGUUUGCUGAAAAGCCUGAUAGCCUUUGAGGUAACUUUUUAAAGUAUUUAGAAGAAAUGUAUCUUUUUUAAAAGUAUUUAUAUGCACUGUAAUUUCUUUGAUAGUUACUGUUAUGUUACACUGUUUGUACAGUAAAGCAGAUGUUAUACAUUUUUUGUCAAUAGCAAAUGUAAACCAGUAUUGUAAAUUGAUGACUCUAUGAGCUAAAUACCAGUACUUUCUA